This 350-nucleotide long non-coding RNA is filed under the name Monodelphis domestica (gray short-tailed opossum). Its description in RNAcentral is "lncRNA (ENSMODG00000032061.2)". Lineage: Eukaryota; Metazoa; Chordata; Mammalia; Didelphimorphia; Didelphidae. The record is from RNAcentral.
AACUCCUGGAGUGGAUAACGGAGCCGAGUAACCCCAGCAAAGUGAAGCCUCAGCUCAAGCUGGAUGGAGACGACAGGAAGAAGAAGGCAGUGUCUGCGGACCCCCUCCCCAGAUUCAGAUGACUUCAUGACUUGGGGUUCCUGGUUGGCAAAGCAUUGAUCCUUGCAUGUUUGACCUUCCCACACAGUCAGGAGGAAGCCAGGACCAUAGAGACCUUGGCAUUUCCACAGAGUUCCUCUGAUGUUAGGGUAAGCAUGAAACUUUGGUAGCGAGUAUGGAAUGGAAACCAGAUCCACAAAGUUUAUUAGCAUUUUAAUAAAAUGAAGCACCUAAAACCUAGUAGCUGUUAU